CCUGGUGGUUAUAGCAAGAGUGAACCACCCGAUCCCAUCCCGAACUCGGCCGUGAAACCUUUUAGCGCUGAUGGUACUGCAUCUUAAGGUGUGGGAGAGUAAGUCGCUGCCAGGU
This 115-nucleotide ribosomal RNA is filed under the name Rhodospirillaceae bacterium. Lineage: Bacteria; Pseudomonadati; Pseudomonadota; Alphaproteobacteria; Rhodospirillales; Rhodospirillaceae. The record is from RNAcentral.